CUGACAUUAAAAGCCAAGGGCUUUUCUUGAACUGAGAAAAGUUUCAUUGAAAGCUGGAAUCAUCUUUAGACUCACAGAAUGGUUUAGGUUGGAAAGGACCUCUGGAAGUCAUCUGGUCCAAACUCCUGCUCAAGCAUGGCCACCCAGCAGGCUACCCAGGAUCAUGUCCAAAGUAUAUACUCUUAUGUUUGGAUGUUCAGUAAGGAAAUCUCAGGCUUAAGAAGAGUAUUGUGACAAAGAUGUAGUUCAGCACUUUUCCAGUAACAAAGGAAACAUGAGCAGUACACACAUAUCAGAUACUUCAGUCUCGUGAGAAGCGGUUUCUGCACGGUUUCCUGGACAGGAUCAAGAACCACUGGAAAUAUUCAGAUAAUUUACUGGAAAUCAUGAAAGCAGACUGUCUGGCAGGUUCUGUUUUGAAUAAACUUUGGAUUGAAAGUGAACUUUUUGGGUGGUGACAUGCUCUUCUGACAACCAGCUCUGUGGCCACUGUCACAUCCCACCAGGACGCUGAAACCGAGUCACUGUGAGG
RNAcentral lists this long non-coding RNA (532 nucleotides) under Gallus gallus (chicken). Lineage: Eukaryota; Metazoa; Chordata; Aves; Galliformes; Phasianidae. The record is from RNAcentral.